CAUGACAUGGCAACCUAUGUCAUCUGCCACCUCAUUUAUUUUAAUUACAUAAUUUGUUAUAUAAAUAAAAGAAUUUCACACCGAAAAAAGAAAAAAAAAAGAAAAAAAGAAAUUCUUUUAUUUAUAUAACAAAUUAUGUAAUUAAAAUAAAUGAGGUGGCAGAUGACAUAGGUUGCCAUGUCAUG
RNAcentral lists this microRNA precursor (185 nucleotides) under Prunus dulcis (almond). RNAcentral's name for it is "sRNA ncRNA". Lineage: Eukaryota; Viridiplantae; Streptophyta; Magnoliopsida; Rosales; Rosaceae. The record is from RNAcentral.